GAUGAACGCUAGCGGGAGGCUUAACACAUGCAAGUCGAGGGGCAGCAUAGGGUAGCAAUACUCUGAUGGCGACCGGCAAACGGGUGAGUAACGCGUAUGCAACCUACCCUGUACAGGGGGAUAACCCGGAGAAAUUCGGACUAAUAUCCCGUAAUAAUAUCCGGAGGCAUCUUUGGAUAUUUAAAGUUCCGACGGUACGGGAUGGGCAUGCGUAACAUUAACUGGUUGGUAAGGUAACGGCUUACCAAGGCUAUGAUGUUUAGGGGUCCUGAGAGGGUGGUCCCCCACACUUGGUACUGAGACACGGACCAGACUCCUACGGGAGGCAGCAGUGAGGAAUAUUGGUCAAUGGGCGCAAGCCUGAACCAGCCAUCCCGCGUGCAGGAAGACGGCCCUAUGGGUUGUAAACUGCUUUUCCAGGGAGAGAAACUUACGCACGUGUUGCGUGACUGACGGUACCCUGGGAAUAAGCAUCGGCUAACUCCGUGCCAGCAGCCGCGGUAAAAUCACGUCG
Molecule: ribosomal RNA, 514 nt
Filed under: uncultured bacterium
Lineage: Bacteria
Description: bacterial SSU rRNA
Rfam family: Bacterial small subunit ribosomal RNA
Source: RNAcentral